This 495-nucleotide ribosomal RNA is filed under the name uncultured bacterium. RNAcentral's name for it is "bacterial SSU rRNA". It matches the Rfam family "Bacterial small subunit ribosomal RNA", at positions 30 to 518 of the family's 1533-position model. The record is from RNAcentral.
UGAACGCUAGCGACAGGCCUAACACAUGCAAGUCGAGGGGCAGCGCGGGAGAAGCUUGCUUUCCUGGCGGCGACCGGCGCACGGGUGCGUAACAGGUGUGCAAUCUGUCCAGUAGUCGGGGGAUAGCCCAGCGAAAGCUGAAUUAACACUCCAUGUGAAUCGAAGCCGCAUGACUUUGAUUUGAAACGCAAGGACUAUGGGUGAGCACGCUUCUGAUUAGGUAGUUGGUGGGUAACGGCCCACCAAGCCGACGAUCAGUAGGGUUCUGAGAGGAAGGUCCCCCACAUUGGAACUGAGACACGGUCCAAACUCCUACGGGAGGCAGCAGUGAGGAAUAUUGGUCAAUGGGCGAGAGCCUGAACCAGCCAAGUCGCGUGAAAGGAUGAAGGUUCUAUGGAUUGUAAACUUCUUUUGUCCGAGGGUAAAAAAGGCCACGUGUGGCUUCUUGCAAGUAUCGGACGAAUAAGCAUCGGCUAACUCCGUGCCAGCAGCCGC